This 2903-nucleotide ribosomal RNA is filed under the name Escherichia coli. Its description in RNAcentral is "23S ribosomal RNA". It matches the Rfam family "Bacterial large subunit ribosomal RNA". The record is from RNAcentral. Lineage: Bacteria; Pseudomonadati; Pseudomonadota; Gammaproteobacteria; Enterobacterales; Enterobacteriaceae.
GGUUAAGCGACUAAGCGUACACGGUGGAUGCCCUGGCAGUCAGAGGCGAUGAAGGACGUGCUAAUCUGCGAUAAGCGUCGGUGAGGUGAUAUGAACCGUUAUAACCGGCGAUUUCCGAAUGGGGAAACCCAGUGUGAUUCGUCACACUAUCAUUAACUGAAUCCAUAGGUUAAUGAGGCGAACCGGGGAACUGAAACAUCUAAGUACCCCGAGGAAAAGAAAUCAACCGAGAUUCCCCCAGUAGCGGCGAGCGAACGGGGAGCAGCCCAGAGCCUGAAUCAGUGUGUGUGUUAGUGGAAGCGUCUGGAAAGGCGCGCGAUACAGGGUGACAGCCCCGUACACAAAAAUGCACAUAUUGUGAGCUCGAUGAGUAGGGCGGGACACGUGGUAUCCUGUCUGAAUAUGGGGGGACCAUCCUCCAAGGCUAAAUACUCCUGACUGACCGAUAGUGAACCAGUACCGUGAGGGAAAGGCGAAAAGAACCCCGGCGAGGGGAGUGAAAAAGAACCUGAAACCGUGUACGUACAAGCAGUGGGAGCACGCUUAGGCGUGUGACUGCGUACCUUUUGUAUAAUGGGUCAGCGACUUAUAUUCUGUAGCAAGGUUAACCGAAUAGGGGAGCCGAAGGGAAACCGAGUCUUAACUGGGCGUUAAGUUGCAGGGUAUAGACCCGAAACCCGGUGAUCUAGCCAUGGGCAGGUUGAAGGUUGGGUAACACUAACUGGAGGACCGAACCGACUAAUGUUGAAAAAUUAGCGGAUGACUUGUGGCUGGGGGUGAAAGGCCAAUCAAACCGGGAGAUAGCUGGUUCUCCCCGAAAGCUAUUUAGGUAGCGCCUCGUGAAUUCAUCUCCGGGGGUAGAGCACUGUUUCGGCAAGGGGGUCAUCCCGACUUACCAACCCGAUGCAAACUGCGAAUACCGGAGAAUGUUAUCACGGGAGACACACGGCGGGUGCUAACGUCCGUCGUGAAGAGGGAAACAACCCAGACCGCCAGCUAAGGUCCCAAAGUCAUGGUUAAGUGGGAAACGAUGUGGGAAGGCCCAGACAGCCAGGAUGUUGGCUUAGAAGCAGCCAUCAUUUAAAGAAAGCGUAAUAGCUCACUGGUCGAGUCGGCCUGCGCGGAAGAUGUAACGGGGCUAAACCAUGCACCGAAGCUGCGGCAGCGACGCUUAUGCGUUGUUGGGUAGGGGAGCGUUCUGUAAGCCUGUGAAGGUGUGCUGUGAGGCAUGCUGGAGGUAUCAGAAGUGCGAAUGCUGACAUAAGUAACGAUAAAGCGGGUGAAAAGCCCGCUCGCCGGAAGACCAAGGGUUCCUGUCCAACGUUAAUCGGGGCAGGGUGAGUCGACCCCUAAGGCGAGGCCGAAAGGCGUAGUCGAUGGGAAACAGGUUAAUAUUCCUGUACUUGGUGUUACUGCGAAGGGGGGACGGAGAAGGCUAUGUUGGCCGGGCGACGGUUGUCCCGGUUUAAGCGUGUAGGCUGGUUUUCCAGGCAAAUCCGGAAAAUCAAGGCUGAGGCGUGAUGACGAGGCACUACGGUGCUGAAGCAACAAAUGCCCUGCUUCCAGGAAAAGCCUCUAAGCAUCAGGUAACAUCAAAUCGUACCCCAAACCGACACAGGUGGUCAGGUAGAGAAUACCAAGGCGCUUGAGAGAACUCGGGUGAAGGAACUAGGCAAAAUGGUGCCGUAACUUCGGGAGAAGGCACGCUGAUAUGUAGGUGAAGUCCCUUGCGGAUGGAGCUGAAAUCAGUCGAAGAUACCAGCUGGCUGCAACUGUUUAUUAAAAACACAGCACUGUGCAAACACGAAAGUGGACGUAUACGGUGUGACGCCUGCCCGGUGCCGGAAGGUUAAUUGAUGGGGUCAGCGCAAGCGAAGCUCUUGAUCGAAGCCCCGGUAAACGGCGGCCGUAACUAUAACGGUCCUAAGGUAGCGAAAUUCCUUGUCGGGUAAGUUCCGACCUGCACGAAUGGCGUAAUGAUGGCCAGGCUGUCUCCACCCGAGACUCAGUGAAAUUGAACUCGCUGUGAAGAUGCAGUGUACCCGCGGCAAGACGGAAAGACCCCGUGAACCUUUACUAUAGCUUGACACUGAACAUUGAGCCUUGAUGUGUAGGAUAGGUGGGAGGCUUAGAAGUGUGGACGCCAGUCUGCAUGGAGCCGACCUUGAAAUACCACCCUUUAAUGUUUGAUGUUCUAACGUUGACCCGUAAUCCGGGUUGCGGACAGUGUCUGGUGGGUAGUUUGACUGGGGCGGUCUCCUCCUAAAGAGUAACGGAGGAGCACGAAGGUUGGCUAAUCCUGGUCGGACAUCAGGAGGUUAGUGCAAUGGCAUAAGCCAGCUUGACUGCGAGCGUGACGGCGCGAGCAGGUGCGAAAGCAGGUCAUAGUGAUCCGGUGGUUCUGAAUGGAAGGGCCAUCGCUCAACGGAUAAAAGGUACUCCGGGGAUAACAGGCUGAUACCGCCCAAGAGUUCAUAUCGACGGCGGUGUUUGGCACCUCGAUGUCGGCUCAUCACAUCCUGGGGCUGAAGUAGGUCCCAAGGGUAUGGCUGUUCGCCAUUUAAAGUGGUACGCGAGCUGGGUUUAGAACGUCGUGAGACAGUUCGGUCCCUAUCUGCCGUGGGCGCUGGAGAACUGAGGGGGGCUGCUCCUAGUACGAGAGGACCGGAGUGGACGCAUCACUGGUGUUCGGGUUGUCAUGCCAAUGGCACUGCCCGGUAGCUAAAUGCGGAAGAGAUAAGUGCUGAAAGCAUCUAAGCACGAAACUUGCCCCGAGAUGAGUUCUCCCUGACUCCUUGAGAGUCCUGAAGGAACGUUGAAGACGACGACGUUGAUAGGCCGGGUGUGUAAGCGCAGCGAUGCGUUGAGCUAACCGGUACUAAUGAACCGUGAGGCUUAACCUU